This 1365-nucleotide ribosomal RNA is filed under the name Cyclopidae sp. JMM-2003. RNAcentral describes it as "SSU rRNA". It matches the Rfam family "Eukaryotic small subunit ribosomal RNA", at positions 424 to 1806 of the family's 1831-position model. Lineage: Eukaryota; Metazoa; Arthropoda; Copepoda; Cyclopoida; Cyclopidae. The record is from RNAcentral.
GGCAGCAGGCACGCAAAUUACCCACUGGCCGAAGGCCGAGGUAGUGACGAAAAAUAACGAUACCAGACUCAUCCGAGGCCUGGUAAUCGGAAUGAGCACACUUUAAAUCCUUUAGCGAGGAACCAUUGGAGGGCAAGUCUGGUGCCAGCAGCCGCGGUAAUUCCAGCUCCAAUAGCGUAUAUUAAAGUUGUUGUGGUUAAAAAGCUCGUAGUUGGAUCUCGGCUCUCAGGGGGCGGUCCGUUAUUUGACGCGACUGCCCCAUUUGAGAGUGUUUCUUCGGCGGAACUCCCGGGGUGCUCUUCGCCGAGUGUCCCGUUGGGGGCCGCCAGGUUUACUUUGAAAAAAUUAGAGUGCUCCAAGCAGGCUCGACACGCCUGAAUAUUUGUGCAUGGAAUAAUGGAAUAGGACGUCGUUCCUAUUUUGUUGGUUUUCGGGAAUCGACGUAAUGAUUAAUAGGGACAGCCGGGGGCAUUAGUAUUCAGACGACAGAGGUGAAAUUCUUGGACCGUCUGGCGACUCACUGCUGCGAAAGCGUUUGCCAAGUAUGUUUUCAUUAAUCAAGAACGAAAGUUAGAGGUUCGAAGGCGAUCAGAUACCGCCCUAGUUCUAACCAUAAACGAUGCCAGCUAGCGAUCUGCCGAUGUUUUUAUUGUAGGCUCGGCAGGAAGCUUCCGGGAAACCAAAGCGUUUGGGUUCCAGGGGAAGUAUGGUUGCAAAGCUGAAACUUAAAGAAAUUGACGGAAGGGCACCACCAGGCGUGGAACUUGCGGCUUAAUUUGACUCAACACUGGAAAUCUCACCAGGCCCGGACACCGGAAGGAUUGACAGAUUGAGAGCUCUUUCUCGAUUCGGUGGGUGGUGGUGCAUGGCCGUUCUUAGUUGGUGGAGUGAUUUGUCUGGUUAAUUCCGAUAACGAACGAGACUCCGUCCUGCUAAAUAGUUCCGACGUCACACGUGCGUCGGAAAUUCUUCUUAGAGGGACUGGCGGCAUCUAGCCGCACGAGAUGGAGCAAUAACAGGUCUGUGAUGCCCUUAGAUGUUCUGGGCUGCACGCGUGUUACACUGAAGGGAUCAGCGUGUCUUCCCUGACCGAGAGGUCCGGGUAACCCGCUGAACCCCCUUCGUGGUAGGGAUCGGAGCUUGCAAUUAUUCUCCGUGAACCAGGAAUGCCCAGUAAGCGCAAGUCAUAAGCUUGCGUUGAUUACGUCCCUGCCCUUUGUACACACCGCCCGUCGCUACUACCGAUUGAACGUUUUAGUGAGGUAUUUGGACUGGACCUCCGGAGGUUCGCGCCUCCGGUGCUGUUCGGGAAGACUCCCAAACUUGAGCGUUUAGAGGAAGUAAAAGUCGUAACAAGGUUACCGU